Molecule: long non-coding RNA, 323 nt
Filed under: Mytilus galloprovincialis (Mediterranean mussel)
Lineage: Eukaryota; Metazoa; Mollusca; Bivalvia; Mytilida; Mytilidae
Source: RNAcentral
GAGGAGAAUUUUGUAAAAGUUAACGACGACGGACGACGACGGAUGACGACGACGGACGACGACGGACGCCAAGUGAUGAGAAAAGCUCACUUGGCCCUUCGGGCCAGGUGAGCUAAAAAGAAGAAAAAACAAACACACAAAUAACUACAUAAAACUCAACAUAGAAAAAUAAAGACUAAGCAACACGAACCCCACCAAAAACUGAGGGUGAUCUCAUGAAUCGUAUAAUGAAUCGUAUAUUAUUAAAAAAAGGAGAAAUUCUUUGCAUUUAUGUUUUUUACAGGGAGAAAGACUGUAAAGGAAAAGAACGAAAACACAAGAGG